UUGUCCGGAUAGUAUGGGCGUAAAGGGUGCGUAGGUGGCAGAACAAGUCUGGAGUAAAAGGUAUGGGCUCAACCCGUACUGGCUCUGGAAGCUGUUCAGCUAGAGAACAGAAGAGGACGGCGGAACUCCAUGUGUAGCGGUAAAAUGCGUAGGUAUAUGGAAGAACACCGGUGGCGAAGGCGGCCGUCUGGUCUGUUGCUGACACUGAAGCACGAAAGCGUGGGGAGCAAAUAGGAUUAGAUACCCUAGUAGUCCACGCCGUAAACGAUGAGAACUAGGUGUUGGGGGAAUAACUCAGUGCCGCAGUUAACGCAAUAAGUUCUCCGCCUGGGGAGUAUGCACGCAAGUGUGAAACUCAAAGGAAUUGACGGGGGCCCGCACAAGCGGUGGAGUAUGUGGUUUAAUUCGAAGCAACGCGAAGAA
Molecule: ribosomal RNA, 423 nt
Filed under: uncultured bacterium
Lineage: Bacteria
Description: bacterial SSU rRNA
Rfam family: Bacterial small subunit ribosomal RNA
Source: RNAcentral